AACGAACGCUGGCGGCAUGCCUAACACAUGCAAGUCGAACGAGACCUUCGGGUCUAGUGGCGCACGGGUGCGUAACGCGUGGGAAUCUGCCCUUGGGUUCGGAAUAACUCAGAGAAAUUUGAGCUAAUACCGGAUGAUGACGUAAGUCCAAAGAUUUAUCGCCCAAGGACGAGCCCGCGUAGGAUUAGCUAGUUGGUGAGGUAAAGGCUCACCAAGGCGACGAUCCUUAGCUGGCUGAGAGGAUGAUCAGCCACACUGGGACUGAGACACGGCCCAGACUCCUACGGGAGGCAGCAGU
RNAcentral lists this ribosomal RNA (298 nucleotides) under uncultured bacterium. Its description in RNAcentral is "partial 16S ribosomal RNA". It matches the Rfam family "Bacterial small subunit ribosomal RNA", at positions 29 to 355 of the family's 1533-position model. The record is from RNAcentral.